UGCCGCGUGAGUGAAGAAGGCCUUCGGGUUGUAAAGCUCUUUUGUCCGGAAAGAAAAGCAUUCGGUUAAUAACCGGGUGUCAUGACGGUACCGGAAGAAUAAGCACCGGCUAACUUCGUGCCAGCAGCCGCGGUAAUACGAAGGGUGCAAGCGUUACUCGGAAUUACUGGGCGUAAAGCGUGCGUAGGUGGUUUGUUAAGUCUGAUGUGAAAGCCCUGGGCUCAACCUGGGAACGGCAUUGGAUACUGGCUUACUAGAGUGCGGUAGAGGGGUGUGGAAUUCCCGGUGUAGCAGUGAAAUGCGUAUAUCUCGGGAGGAACAUCUGUGGCGAAGGCAACCCCCUGGACCAGCACUGACGCUGAGGCACGAAAGCGUGGGGAGCAAACAGGAUUAGAUACCCUGGUAGUCCACGCCCUAAACGAUGCUAACUGGAUGUUGGGUGCAAUUUGGCACUCAAUAUCGAAGCUAACGCGUUAAGUUCCCCGCCGGGGAAGUACGGUCGCAAGACUGAAACUCAGAGGAAUUGACGGAGGCCCGCACUAGCGGUGGAGUAUGUGGUUUAAUUCUAUGCAGCGCGAGAACCUUACCUGGCCUUGACAUGCACGGAACCCUGCAGAGAU
RNAcentral lists this ribosomal RNA (620 nucleotides) under Lysobacteraceae bacterium So3Ps_1866. RNAcentral's name for it is "bacterial SSU rRNA". It matches the Rfam family "Bacterial small subunit ribosomal RNA", at positions 395 to 1007 of the family's 1533-position model. Lineage: Bacteria; Pseudomonadati; Pseudomonadota; Gammaproteobacteria; Lysobacterales; Lysobacteraceae. The record is from RNAcentral.